Molecule: non-coding RNA, 159 nt
Filed under: Gossypium arboreum
Lineage: Eukaryota; Viridiplantae; Streptophyta; Magnoliopsida; Malvales; Malvaceae
Description: Bacterial large subunit ribosomal RNA
Rfam family: Bacterial large subunit ribosomal RNA
Source: Rfam by way of RNAcentral
AACAUAUCCUUCUUCAUCAUCACAUCUCACAUCGGCGGGAAGGUUUGGCACCUCGAUGUUGGCUCUUCACCACUGGGGGCUGUAGUAUGUUCCAAGGGUUGGGUUGUUCGCCCAUUAAAGCAGUAUGUGAGCUAGGUUCAAAACGUCGUGAGAGAGUUU